Lolium perenne is the source of this 2195-nucleotide RNA transcript. RefSeq lists it as uncharacterized. Lineage: Eukaryota; Viridiplantae; Streptophyta; Magnoliopsida; Poales; Poaceae. The record is from RefSeq and is a predicted model, not a curated record.
CAACGGUUCAACCGCAACCAUGCUUCUUCCCCAUCGUAUACUUCCUCCUCUCACCGGCACCGGCAGCAGCGCACCACCACCUCGGGCCCUCCGCUCCUCGCAUGCGCCUCGCCCUCUGCACACGGAAUCGCCAAGGCGACAUGUCAUAGCACCAUGUCGCACUUCACGGAACGUGCCAAGAAUAGCUGAAACUGAAGCUACACCUGCUGAACCUUCGGCAGCUGUUCAAGGUGCUACUGCCCCUCUAGUUCAGGCAUUGAAAUCAACAGCAGCUCAUGAAGUGUCCUGCUUUCACUUCCCAGGACACAACAGAGGGAAUGCUGCUCCGUCUUCACUGUCGAACCUUAUUGGCAUGGGAGCAUUCACGCAUGACUUGCCCGAGCUUCCUGAGCUCGAUGACCUCUUCUACCCUAAGGGUGUGAUUUUGGAUGCUCAGAACCGGGCGGCUCAACAAUUCGGAUCAUCUAAAACAUGGUUCCUGGUCAACGGGAGUACUUGUGGAAUCCAGGCUGCGGUUAUGGCUACCUGCUCCCCGGGUGACUACCUCGUCAUACCUCGAAACUGUCACAUUUCAGUGAUAUCUGCUAUGGUUUUAUCCGGUGCGGUACCUAAGUAUAUAGUACCAGAGUACAAUUCCGGGUGGGAUAUCGCUGGCGGUGUUACACCGUCACAGGUAGAUCAAGCACUGAAGGAGCUUCAGAAGGAUGGGAAGAAAAUAGGUGCUGUUCUUGUUACUUCACCGACCUAUCACGGGAUAUGCAGCAAUGUGCGUGGUAUUGUUGAUGCUUGUCAUCCAUUACACAUUCCAGUUAUAGUGGAUGAGGCACAUGGUGCACACUUCAGGUUCCAUGACAGUUUUCCAAGCACGGCGAUUGAGCAAGGUGCUGACCUGGCUGUGCAAUCCACGCACAAGGUUCUGAGCUCGCUCACACAGUCCUCAAUGCUUCACAUGGCUGGAGAUCUUGUUGAUGCAGAUAAAGUGAGCCAAUGCCUCCAAUUGCUCCAGAGCUCAAGCCCAAGUUACCUCCUAUUGUCAUCAUUAGAUGCUGCAAGAGCUCAAUUGAGUGAGAACUUAAAAUCCUUUGAUGAACCGGUGGCUAUGGCUUUUGAAACAAGAGAACAGCUGAGGUUGAUCCCAGGGAUAUCUGUCCUAGACCUGUCAAUCUUUGUUUCUGACUUCCCUGCCAUUGAUCCUUUGCGUAUCACAGUAAGUGCUACAGAUCUGCAUUUAUCUGGAUAUGAAGCAGAUGACAUUUUGGCUGAAGAGCAUCAAAUUGUUUCUGAGCUUGUCGGUACAAAGGCAGUGACAUUUGCAGUCAACUUAGGGACCAGACAACAAGAUGUUGAAAAGCUUGUACAGUCUACAAAGCAUGUCUCAGAAAAACACUCGUCCGCAAAAGAAUCCAGAUUUCGAAAAUGUCGUAGUCCAUUAGAUAAGUUCUCUGUCAAGCUGACUCCAAGAGAGGCCUUCUUUACAAACAAAAAGAGAGUGUGCAUUGAGGACAGCAUUGGCGAGAUCUGUGGUGAGCUUAUAUGCCCGUAUCCACCAGGUAUCCCUGUGCUGAUCCCAGGUGAGGUCGUAACACAGGAGUCCCUUUCUUACUUAAUACACGUCAGAGACCAGGGCAUGGUAAUAAGCGGGGCAGCUGAUGCCAAACUCAACUCGAUCAUGGUAUGCAACUUGUGAUUAUUAUUCUGAGGUUUCAAGAUAACCAUGUGGCAACAAUAGUUCGGUGGUUCACGGACUAAUGAAUUGAUGCAUCGGCAUAGUACGAGGGAUGAUAACCACACAUGGGUCCAAGCAGAGCACAGUCGGGUUCUUACUGCCUACUUGACCAAACAUUGAAAAUACGUCUCGUGAAGAAAGAGUUAGUUAUCAAGCUACAUGACGAUGCCAAAUUAUAAGUAGGGUCUAUCCGUCUAUGGCAUGUGGAUUCCUGUGAGCUCGAAGCAUAAACCAUUGAAGAGGCAACCUUGUCCCCUGAAGUGCCUUGGAAUCUUCCUUCUUUGGCUCACUUCAGAAUAGCGUGCUCAAUCUGAAUCGACUGAUCCAGCUCUCAACCAUCAGGUGCAGUCUUUACACCUUCAUGGUUUUCCAUCAGCAUGUUGCAAGGUUACCUGGUUACUCAAGCAAGUACUCUAGCUGCUUUUGUAAGUCCCACAUCAACUAGAGAAUUCAUGGAUAUUCCACUGGA